AUUGUCGUCAUCGAACCAUCCAUUUCCUCUGUACCAAAUAAAGCCUUCUCCUUUCCCUCAUAUCUCUACUAACUACUAUUUUAGAUUUCCCCCCUAUUUUUCUUCAUUUUCCUUUCCUCUCUCUCUUCAUUAUUUUUCGUCAUUCUUUCUCUCUCUCCUCCUCCAGAGCUCCAUCUUCUUUGAGAGAGAAGAAAGAAGAAAGAAGUAAGAAGAAAGAAGAAAGAAGAAAGAAGAAAGAAGGGAAAGGUAUUGACUGUGGCGCGGUUCUUCCACGAAGCAUUUUGCCGCCAUAUCUAUGGCGAUUCAUCGGCGCCGCCAUUAUCAACAUAGCAAUAAUAAUCGCCGAUUUUUUCCUGCAAUUACCGCCGUUGUUGGAGCUUUUUUCCUAUGUUUCUUCGUUCUUUCUUUUCUCGCUCCCCAUCCUUCUCGUCUACUCCAGCAUAAUCGCGGUCGCAACUCGAUUUCCGCUUCCAUUGACGAUGCUGUUGCUUCUAUUGGAGUUUCCGUCGAUUCUGUUCCGGCAAGUGGAGGAAAAUCUAAAUAUGAUAUUUGGAGGUGUAGAGAUUCUGAAUUUUUCUAUGGUUGUAGCAAUGCCACCAGUAAAUUCCUAAAAGCUGAAGUUAUCACACGUCGAAAUCGGUAUUUGAUGAUUGCAACUAGUGGAGGCUUAAAUCAACAACGGACAGGGAUAAUUGAUGCUGUUGUUGCAGCGCGUAUUUUGAAUGCAACUCUAGUUGUGCCUAAGUUGGAUCAGAGAUCUUAUUGGAAAGAUGCAAGUAAUUUUGAGGACAUCUUUGAUAUUGAUUGGUUCAUAUCCUCCCUAUCAAAUGACAUCAAUAUCUUGAAAGAACUUCCAAAUGGUCCAAAAGUCACAACCAUGCGUGUUCCAAGAAAAUGCAAUGAAAGAUGCUAUGAAAAGCGAGUUUUACCUGUUAUAUUGAAAAGGCAUGCUGUCCGGCUUACCAAGUUUGACUAUAGGCUUGCUAAUCGACUGGAAACAGAUUUUCAAAAGCUAAGAUGUAGAGUUAAUUACCAUGCAUUAAAGUUCACUAGUCCCAUACUUGACAUGGGCAAAUUGCUGGUACAAAGAAUGAGGGCCAUGGGCAAGCAUUUUAUUGCUCUCCAUCUAAGGUUUGAACCUGAUAUGCUUGCAUUCUCGGGAUGCUACUAUGGUGGAGGAGACAAAGAAAGAAAAGAAUUGGGUGCUAUAAGGAAGAGGUGGAAAACAUUGCAUGGAAGUAAUCCAGACAAGGCAAGGAGGCAAGGGAGAUGUCCACUUACUCCGGAGGAAGUGGGGCUGAUGUUGAGGGCUUUAGGUUACGGCAAAGAUGUUCAUAUUUAUGUUGCAUCUGGCGAAGUAUAUCGAGCAGAAGAAACAUUAGCUCCACUGAAGACGCUCUUCCCCAAUUUCCAUUCCAAGGAUACAAUUGCAAGUAAACAGGAGCUAGAAUCAUUCUCAAAGUUUUCUUCUCGCAUGGCAGCACUUGACUUUAUCGUUUGUGAUGAAAGUGACGUCUUUGUUACCAACAACAAUGGAAAUAUGGCAAAGAUACUAGCAGGACGAAGGAGGUAUUCUGGUCAUAAACCCACAAUCCGCCCCAAUGCUAAAAAACUAUAUAAGCUCUUCAUGAACAUCGGUAACAUGACUUGGGAAGAGUUUUCAUUGAAGGCCCGUUCUUACCAGAGAGGGUUCAUGGGUUUGCCGCAUGAGGUGAGACCAGGUAGAGGUGAGUUUCAUGAGAAUCCAGCUGCAUGUAUAUGUGAAAUCUCUGAUGCAAAGGCAAUGAGAGAUGCCAGUCUUCGGAAGUACGGGAUGGGUAAGGAUCCAGCCAGGAAAGAAUUGGACACUGAGGAUCAUGAUGCUGAUGACGAUAUGGAAGUGACAGAUCCAGAUACCGAUGGUGAUGUACUUUUCCAUGAGAAACAGCCAGCGAAUGAGACUUUGGGCGAGACCAUGUUAGAUUAUGAUGGAAUUUCGACAGAUGAACCAGAGUUAGAAGAUAUGUUAUCGGAUUAGACCAUUUUGUUUCUUAAAAGGGAUUUCAUCUUUUGUUUUGGGAUAAGCACAGACGGCUGCAUGGUUAACUGAAGUUGUUAGGUCUAGCGUUCACAAUACCUGUACAAAGUUAAGCUGUUAAGAGUGAGCUCGCAACUAAGUGUUCAUCCAAAGAAUAUGCCCUACAGUCUGCAAGUUCCCAACUACAUACGGAAUUGCGAUAUCAUUAUACCAAACUGGAAAAAGUCUCGCUUUGCUGUUCCCUUUCUGAUGGGAUACGGCUACAUUGUUAGGAAAAUCAAUCAAAGGAAAAUUUGCUUUCCCUUUGUCAUGAAGAUGGAGGCAUGUCUGAACCACCAUCAAUGGGUGGUGGAGGAGGAUUUGGAUAAACUCCUGGUGGUCUGUCUCGUGGUUGGAUUGAGAGCAGCUGUGUUGAAUCUCCUACCACAUCUGCCCAUCCGUAAUGAGGUUCAGCCCUAUCACAAGCAAUUGAAUUCGUUAUAAUUGAGAUCACAUAAAACCUCAAAAAAGGCAGGAAAAUAAUAAGAUAUUUACAUGAAAAGUAGAGAAAAAUAAGCGACUACAUGGGCAGGAAUCUAAACUAAUUUUUUUCCCGAUAAUUUUGCUCUUAAAGAUCAAUUCAGAAUAAUCUAGUUGAUAUCAUGAUUUGUAAGAGUGUGCUUAACCCUUUCAAACCUUGCUUAGGUGAAAGCGAUAUAUAAGCGCAUUGAGUAAUGAGAUGUUACACUUCUAUCCACUUAAGAAAGCAUUUAAAAUUUGAAAUGUGAAAAUUAAUUUGUAGUUAGCAAAA
Molecule: RNA transcript, 2807 nt
Organism: Amaranthus tricolor (Joseph's coat)
Lineage: Eukaryota; Viridiplantae; Streptophyta; Magnoliopsida; Caryophyllales; Amaranthaceae
Gene name: O-fucosyltransferase 16
Exons: 11
Source: RefSeq, a predicted model, not a curated record